This 302-nucleotide long non-coding RNA is filed under the name Homo sapiens (human). Its description in RNAcentral is "HSALNT0142085". Lineage: Eukaryota; Metazoa; Chordata; Mammalia; Primates; Hominidae. The record is from RNAcentral.
CCAAUAAAAAGUCAGAGCAGGGGGUAAAGCCACAGGUGGAAGUAUCGGAGUAUCACAUUUGUUCAUACGAGAUAAGAAGAGUGGUAUCCUUAAAGUGACUUUGGGAUAGAAGAGAAGAUAGAGUUAAUAGCUUGUUCUCUAUCCUAAAAUGUGCAGCAUGUAAUCAAACAGAAAUUUCUACUUGAGAAGGAUACUGAUGUCCUACUGUCUUUAAGCCACAUGCAGGUUAUGAUUGAUGUAUUAUCUGGCCAUAAUUGAUUCAAGAAGAUGGAAAAUAACUUUGGUGAAAAGCUGAAAGAAAG